ACCCGCUGAACUUAAGCAUAUCAAUAAGCGGAGGAAAAGAAACCAACAGGGAUUGCCCUAGUAACGGCGAGUGAAGCGGCAACAGUUCAAAUUUGAAAUCUGGCUCUUUUAGAGUCCGAGUUGUAAUUUGCAGAGGGCGCUUUGGCUUUGGCAGCGGUCCAAGUUCCUUGGAACAGGACGUCACAGAGGGUGAGAAUCCCGUACGUGGUCGCUGGCUAUUGCCGUGUAAAGCCCCUUCGACGAGUCGAGUUGUUUGGGAACGCAGCUCUAAAUGGGAGGUACAUUUCUUCUAAAGCUAAAUAUUGGCCAGAGACCGAUAGCGCACAAGUAGAGUGAUCGAAAGAUGAAAAGCACUUUGGAAAGAGAGUCAAACAGCACGUGAAAUUGUUAAAAGGGAAGCGCUUGCAGCCAGACUUGCUUACAGUUGCUCAUCCGGGCUUUUGCCCGGUGCACUCUUCUGUAGGCAGGCCAGCAUCAGUUUGGGCGGUAGGAUAAAGGUCUCUGUCACGUACCUCCUUUCGGGGAGGCCUUAUAGGGGAGACGACAUACUACCAGCCUGGACUGAGGUCCGCGCAUCUGCUAGGAUGCUGGCGUAAUGGCUGU
This 603-nucleotide ribosomal RNA is filed under the name uncultured fungus. Its description in RNAcentral is "eukaryotic LSU rRNA". It matches the Rfam family "Eukaryotic large subunit ribosomal RNA", at positions 23 to 641 of the family's 3401-position model. The record is from RNAcentral. Lineage: Eukaryota; Fungi.